GACGAACGCUGGCGGCGUGCUUAACACAUGCAAGUCGAACGAAGAGCGAUGGAAGCUUGCUUCUAUCAAUCUUAGUGGCGAACGGGUGAGUAACGCGUAAUCAACCUGCCCUUCAGAGGGGGACAACAGUUGGAAACGACUGCUAAUACCGCAUACGACCCAAUCUCGGCAUCGAGGAUGGAUGAAAGGUGGCCUCUAUUUAUAAGCUAUCACUGAAGGAGGGGAUUGCGUCUGAUUAGCUAGUUGGAGGGGUAACGGCCCACCAAGGCGAUGAUCAGUAGCCGGUCUGAGAGGAUGAACGGCCACAUUGGGACUGAGACACGGCCCAGACUCCUACGGGAGGCAGCAGUGGGGAAUCUUCCGUAAUGGACGAAAGUCUGACGGAGCAACGCCGCGUGAAUGAUGACGGCCCUUCGGGUUGUAAAGCUCUGUUAAUCCGGGACGGAACGUCCUUCUUGCGAAUAGUUAGAAGGAUCGAUGGUACCGGAAUAGAAAGCCACGGCUAACUACGUGCCAGCAGCCGCGGUAAUACGUAGGUGGCAAGCGUUGUCCGGAAUUAUUGGGCGUAAAGCGCGCGCAGGCGGAUUGGUCAGUCUGUCUUUAAAGUUCGGGGCUUAACCCCGUGAUGGGAUGGAAAUUGCCAAUCUAGAGUAUCGGAGAGGAAAGUGGAAUUCCUAGUGUAGCGGUGAAAUGUGUAGAUAUUAGGAAGAACACCAGUGGCGAAGGCGACUUUCUGGACGAAAACUGACCAUGAGGCGCGAAA
RNAcentral lists this ribosomal RNA (763 nucleotides) under uncultured organism. Its description in RNAcentral is "SSU rRNA". It matches the Rfam family "Bacterial small subunit ribosomal RNA", at positions 28 to 758 of the family's 1533-position model. The record is from RNAcentral.